GGCCCCGUAGUGUAGUCUGGAUUGCAUAAGAGCCUCCGGAGCUCUAGGCUUGGGUUCAAAUCCCAACGGGGUCG
This 74-nucleotide transfer RNA is filed under the name Candidatus Iainarchaeum sp. RNAcentral's name for it is "tRNA-Arg". It matches the Rfam family "tRNA". Rfam says of the family: Transfer RNA (tRNA) molecules are approximately 80 nucleotides in length. Their secondary structure includes four short double-helical elements and three loops (D, anti-codon, and T loops). The record is from RNAcentral. Lineage: Archaea; Nanobdellati; Candidatus Iainarchaeota; Candidatus Iainarchaeia; Candidatus Iainarchaeales; Candidatus Iainarchaeaceae.